Non-coding RNA from Potamilus streckersoni, 74 nucleotides. NCBI's taxonomy places the organism in Eukaryota, Metazoa, Mollusca, Bivalvia, Unionida, Unionidae. The record is from the annotation of a GenBank genome assembly.
GAUCCGGUGGCCUAGUGGUUAGAGCGUCCGCCUCGGAUGCAGGAGGUCAUGGGUUUCUUUCUCCGGUCGAGUCG